Molecule: long non-coding RNA, 5456 nt
Filed under: Trifolium pratense (red clover)
Lineage: Eukaryota; Viridiplantae; Streptophyta; Magnoliopsida; Fabales; Fabaceae
Description: long non-coding RNA (TPRA_LNC012437)
Source: RNAcentral
GUUAUGAUUAUUUAUCUCCUUUUCAUAUUGGUGGUUUUCUUCUGUCCUUUUGUCUUUGAAAACUGUGUUUUAUAUCUGGAGAAUUUAGAGAAAUGUAUAAUAACUUAAUUUGUUCUGCCAGACAUUUGUUGCUUCCCCUGAGGAUACAAAGAUUGAUUUGAACCCUCAGAAAAUACGCUUUCUGCCCAUAUACCAGCGUUUCUUUGUAAUGAAGAUUCAUGGCUGGCAUAGCGUAUUCAGAAUCUAGGAUGUAUAUAGGCAUUUCAUUCUUGGUAAGUCUGUCGAUGGCAUUUCUUUCAUUUCUAUAGAGAAUACAUGGUUGUUAGAAAUAUAUUUUGAUUAUCUGCAAUGUAUGGAACUACUUUUAACUAUACUAUUUCUUACUGAAAUACUCUUGUCAUUAUCUCAGAAGGCUGAAAGGUCAUGAGUUUGAUAACGAAUUUUCAGUUUUUUGAAGUUAUUCUCUGUAAAAUCAUUAGUCUAUUAGGGUCCAUAACACUAUUCCUUGCAUUGAUCAUGAAUUCCCUGCUUUAUGUGAAAAGAAAUUAGACAUUCUCUUGGGCUUUUUUUGGGAUUUAUGAGGGGAAAGAAAGGGAGGGAAGUUUCCCUUGUUUGGGGGAAUGCUUUUGGAGGAGAGGGGAAAAGAAGGCUUAUGGGUAAUAUUUUGCUUGUUUUGAUGAGUGUUGUACAAAGAGGCUAAGAGGGAAAGGAUUUAGAGAUUUUUUUUACACCCUCUAAACUAUUCCCCCAAUUCAUUUUUUUCAAUUCCUCCAAAUUGGUGGUUUUGAAGAAAUAUAGACUCUCAUAAAAGGUAGGGAGCUAUCCUCCGUUCUUCCUCCCUUUCACCCCAAAAUCAUUCCCCCUCUUUCCUUCCUAAAUCCCAAACAAAGGCAAGGUCUUGCUCAUUAAGCCUCUAUGUCGGUAAUGGCAUGACUAGUAUAAUAAAAAAUAGGCCAUCAUCAUCCUAGAUGGGCCCACAAUGUGAGUCUGGAUGAACCAUUUUUAAGAAGUGUUGCCUGUUUGAUUCAUUACGUGCUGCAGUUAUGUGCCUCUCUAACAGUCAUUUAACCCCUUGACUAGUUUUAUUAGUUAUGCCACCUGAAUUAUUGAAAAAUAUUAGUAAAUAGCCCCUGAAGUUUUCCCCAAUCAAUCCUGUUAAUCCCUCAAUUAGUCUGUGUCAUUUUACUGCUUCUAAUUGUCAUGUUAGCACUCCAUCUCUAUGUGAAAUCAAGUCAGACCCUUUCUUCCUACAUGUUUGUUAUAUACAUAAAAAAAUACAUCAAAUUAAUCCUUACCAGAUCCUCUCUUUCUAAAUGGUUUUUUUUAACAGUAAAGCAUCUAUUAGAUUAGAAAAUAAUCAAAUUCAUUACAAACGAUAGGAUAAAUCUAGUGUGCGAGACUCCCCACCCCUGUUCCAGAACCUACUUGUUGCUUCAGACAAAGACACAUGCCUAUUAAAGGUGUAGUUUAAAUCAAGCUUGUAGGAAUUAAUGUAGUCCAUGUAGCACUUGAAAACAACCCUUGUAGCUAACUGUAACUAACUAACUAACUGGCAGGUGUCAGUUAGUUAUACUCUCCUAGCCUCCUUGAACACUGUUUGUAGCUUCCAUAAUAUCAAAACAAAAGAAAAUUAGGAUUUAUAAUUCAAUAGAUUGACUUGCAGUCUCCACGCAAACUUUUCCAUAACAUAGAUGAGUUACCUAUCCGUCACUGUUGGCGCUUUCGUCGUCUUGGUCGCAUUCGUCCUCUUUCUCUUCAAUUUCUGAGAAAUUGGACUCUGAAAAUUACCUCUUAUUUUGUCAACAGGUAGAACCUGUAUUGAAACUUUGCAAUAUUCCUUUCUCAAGUAAAAGUACUUCUGAGUUUUGCACUUGUUUGGGAAUAGAACUCAUGCGCAUAGGCUUCCCUCUCAUUCAUCCAUUACCAGAUACAGUCCCCCUCUAGAAUUAAUAUACAGUGGCCUGUGGGGCCCUGCUCCCUUUACCUCUACUACUGAAUUUAUAUAUUACAUUACCUUUGGUGAUGCAUUCAGUAGAUUUAAUUGGAUUUAUCUUCUCAAACAAAACAAAAAAACUGAUGCUUUUUCUAUCUUUCAACAAUUCAAAACCAUGGUUUAUCAGUUCUCAUAAAAUCAAAUAUGUCCAAACUGAUUAGGGUGGUGAAUUUCAACCAUUCACGAAAUUCCUAAACUAGUGUGGUAUUAUACACCAUCUUAUUUGUCCUCACUCCUCACCAAAAUGGUGUUGUUGAGCGAAAACACAGACAAAUUGUUGAACUUGGCGUUAUCUUACUUGCCCAGGCAGCUCUGCUCCUUGCCUAUUGGUAUUAUGCAUUUCUCACCAGUAUGUACCUCAUCAACAGACUUCCCACUUCAACUCUCAGUUUUGAAGUGUCUUACACCACACCCUUCAAAAAAUCAGCCUUACUGUUUUCCUUUGCUUGGGCCAUACAACAAUCAUAAGUUGCAAUUCAGGUCACAUAAGUUCUUUUUCCUUAUUCCACUUUCCAUAAAGGCCAUAAGUGCUUAUCCCAAGAUGACUGCAUUUAAAUCUCUAGGGAUGUAUUAUUUAAUUAUAACAUAGAUUCCCAUGCCUUGAAUUAUUUUCCUCAAAAUUAUUUCACCUCCUCAACCACUACCCCUGCUUCUAUCCCAACUGUACCCUCACUCUCUCCUUCUCCCAAGGCAACCAUUCCCAGCACUAUUAACUAUGGUUCUCCAGUUCAGUCUCUCAUUUACUCUCCCGAAGAGUUUUAUUUUUAAUUUUGAAAAGGUGUAAAAUCUGUCUGUUAAUAAAAAACUGCCUCUGUGCGAGAGGAACAGCACCUAAAGCACUGCAUGUAAGUUUUGUUCUAUUUUUUAUAUAGGAACAGUAUAUACCGUUGUAAUUAGUGUUGCUGAUUUUAUAUUGAUUUAUUUCAGAGUCUAUAUAAUAGAGUCUCCGUGGUGUAGUUGAGUCACAUGGUUUCACCAUAUGUUUUAAUCCGGCACACUUUGACUAUAUGAAUCUUCUGACUUAUCAAUGUUUACAACUUGGCCUGAAGUGCUCUGGCAGGUCCCAAGAAUAUUUAAAAUGGAGGCAGCCUCUUUCUAGUUGACCCUUACAAAUAACUGACUAUAACUACAAACUGCAAGUGUGAUAUUUGGGAUGCAUUCCAAGCCGCCUUAAUACCAUGGAUCUUUCCCAAUCCCACCUCUUUAUGAAUCAUACCAAACAAAACAUUAUCACACAAAAUAAACAAGUUAUGGGACAAAGGGUCACUUUGCCUCAGGCCAAACUCUGGUGAGAAACUUACUCGACUGCCCAUUGAUAAAGAUCUAACAGGAAACAGAAUGAUGCAUUUCGUGAUCACAUUCGUCAAGUGUUUUGGGAAACCCAUUGUGUCAUCCUCCUUUUCUUACCUUUGGUCUUCUUUAGCCAAUGGAAGCAUUCCAUUGCAAUCAAAGCAUUUUCGGUGGUGAGCCUUCCUUUAAUAAAGGCACAUUGUUCUUCAUCAACAAUCUCAGGAAUGAUUCCUUUUAGUUUAUGGGCUACAAUCAGUAACUGUCUUUAUGACCACAUUGCAAAGACUAGGCAAUGAAAGUUUUAUUUAUGCCUCUAGAGAAAUCCCCCUGUUAAGAAUAACUAAAACCGACUACUGAACCUCUUGGCCAACAAUAUUCCAGUACUUCGGAAGAAAAGGGUUGGGAGCCCAUUAUAGCCUUGGUACCUUGAGAAGAUGCAUAUGAUUAAGGUUCUCCUUAAUUCCUUCCUUUGGAAAAGUGGUUGCACAAGACUUUUGAUCCUCACUCCGUCUUCUCCUCACAGCAUCACGGGUCUAAUAUAACUCUGAUGAGAAAGAAGUGGAGAAAACAUAAGAGAAAUGGUUUCUCUUCCUACAUGGUUUCAUGAUUUCUCCUACUGAUUUCUGUUUUUAGGACUGCAAUUUGUGUUUUUUAUAUGACCCUAUCUCCCUACAUGGUUUCAUUAUUUUGGCUACUGGUUUCGGUUUUGGGAACUGGAACUUUUGUUUUCUAUCAGAGCCUAUCUUCCUACAUGGUUUCAUAAUUUUGGCUUCUGGUUCUUGUUUCUACGACUGCAACUUAUGUUUUUUAUAAGACCCUCUUUCUACAUGGUUUCAUAUUUUUACUUCUGGUUUGUGGUUCUGUUUUUAGGACUGCAAUUUCUGUUGUUACAAGUUUCUAGUUAGGACUGCUACUUCUUUUUUUUCUUUUUUAUGGUUUCAUGCUUUUAGACUUCUUAAAACAUGCUUCUAUUUUUACCAAUGGUUCUUUGCUCAGACUGGUUUCAAUGAUUUGCCAAUGGUUCAAAAUUGGGCAGCAUACAUGUAGAGUAUUUUGGUUAUCAACUUUGGUUUCAAUUAUAAGAUGCCUAAUAUAGUAUUAUUGGCAUGUAGAUUUUGACAUGUAGACAUGAAAUAUGCUGCAUAUUUAACAUGACUGAUUAACAUGACUGAUAUACUGCUGUUUUUAAUUCCGCAAUCUACGCAUUAGUGCUUUAUGCACAUGCAUAAUAUUACGCAGUCUGUUUUAUACGACCAUGCACAAACGAAGUGGCUGUGACAUGGUUGGUUAAAAAUUUGUUUGAGCUGAGAUGCCUACCAAAGAAUUAUGCAUCUGGUUUUCAAAUGUUAUAAGAUGCCUUAAUACAUAGGAUUGAUAGACAGCACUUGAAAUAUGCAAAAAAAAAUUUAUUAUACACAUGCAUAGUAUCAUGCAGUCGGUGGUGAUUUAUAUUACAGAUGCACCAAAUAAGUGGUUGGGUCAUGUUAAAAAUCUGUUUGGGCAGAGAUGUGUUAUUUUGUUUCAUACGGAAAAAUAUGAUUAGGGCAAUUUGUAUAUAUUUACAUCGUCCAUUGGUUUUUGCUGGUUUUGUUUUUACAGUAUUUUUACUAGGCUGCUUGUUUAACACGGGUUUAAAAGUUGAUUUUCCAUAAGUUAACAGAUAUUAGAAGUUAUUAAGCUUAAGCAGAAUGCAAUCAAUUUCAAAUUUCAUUCAAGGUGACACAUGCGAUCCCUGUUUUCAAUCUUACAUUGAUGCAUUUUCCUCUUAGGAUGUAACAGUAAUUUGCAAAUAAAAUACAAAGCAAUAUAUCAAUAUCAAUAUCAAUAUCAAUCAAAGAGAUGAAAACAAAGCUGUCAUCAUGGUCUUGUAUUUCUUUUUGAGCUCGAUAAAACAAGCCAAACUGACAAAUGAGACUAAGCUCUCAAAAACAGGUUUUCAAACUGUUAAUAAUAAUCUGGGCUCAUCUGUCAUAACAUUAAAACCUAGCCAAUAACUCUAACUAUAUACAAUACAUACAAAGACUACAAACCCUCAUUGUACACCAAAAUUCACAUUUAUAUUACAAGCAGCUGCAUUUUCAUUUCUGCAGGAUGCGUUCAAUUUACAAGCCUCAACACAUUUCAUACAUACAAACUUGGAAGGCAAGCCGUCAUCAGAACUACCAAUUCCAGC